Molecule: long non-coding RNA, 3759 nt
Filed under: Sus scrofa (pig)
Lineage: Eukaryota; Metazoa; Chordata; Mammalia; Artiodactyla; Suidae
Description: lncRNA (ENSSSCG00060067853.1)
Source: RNAcentral
AGUACAAGAGGGAAAAUUCCCUUUGAGCAAUUAGAGAGGCGAAAGAGAAGCAGGGAAUGUCCCUGAUUGCAUUACAGAGGAGGAAACCAAGACGACUUCUUCUCAAGUCCUUUGCUGAAGCCACCAUGAGAGCUCAGUGCAGUCAGGAUGAAAGAGGCCCAUUUGCCUUCUCGGGGGAGACAUGGCUUUGGAUUCUUUGAAGAGCAGUGUUGCCUGUCAAAUUAGAGGGUUAUGACAGGAGCCGCCAAGUGGAAGUUGGAGAAUUCAUCUCCAUUCUCGCAACCCGGAUAACUCCUACCUUAGCAGCAGAUUUUAUGUUGCCCUCUAAUGUAAAAUCUAGAACUUUUACUGCCGGAAGUUCUCCAAUACGUGUUCACUAGGCUUCAGCGUUUUUAGGAAUCCCACCUAAAUCUAUGUCUUUAUCUCCAUGUGGAGAUGGUUGGUGUAUCAGACUAAAGCAGCUCACUAGAAGGCUGAACAGAGUCUGGUUCUAGAAUUUGUGCCUAGCGCCGGGGGUUCAGGAAAGGCUCGGUAACGAUGGUUUCACAGCAUAGGGAAACUGUGUCUUGAGAGAAGAUUGAUGGGAGCAAGGACAAAUGCUAGGAGAAAGCGGAAGGAUGGCAAAUUAAGAGGGAUGAAAAGAAAUGGCACAUUAAGGUGGGAAAUUAAGAGGAAGGGAAAAAAGAGUAGAUAUACAUAGCAAUAAAAGAAGAAAAAUCAUUGUGAUGCAUGAUGGAUAGAGAAGUGACUUUCCUGUUUUUCUCUGGGCCCUAAUGGACCCACCACUACUGAUCGAAGGUAAGAGCAGACUGAUUUCUGUGUUUUCCACUCUUAACGAAGAAGAGACCCCUUAGCAGUCUUUCUGAGACCUCCAUUUCUUUCAUUUUCAGGCUGACUCAAGCAAAGUGGGGAAAAAAUCGCAUCUGGACAAAGGAAGCUUAUCUCCCCGAAUCUCAAAACCUAUGUCAAGAGAACCUUUACUGAAGAGAGCCAUAGAGUUAAACACUGUACUUAAUUCCAACCAAAAACUAGAUAAAGGGUUAGAAAUCAGUGUUAUUAGUGGCCUCUCCUUCCUUCCUUAACUGCUAACCCUCAGCCAGGCCACUAUAAUAACAGUGUUAUUUUUCAUGCCUGAAAGGAAAAUCAGAGAUUCCAUCAAGAAAGGGCUUUUAAAGGGAGGCUGUGUUAUUGCAGUAUUAUUUGGACUCUCACUCUAAAUAUACAAAUGAUUCCAAUUUCUCUUAAUAUGGGUUGAGGGUGGCGGAAUUUAAGUCUCACUGGGUUAAAAUAGCAACUCAAAAACACACGUCAAAACCCCUAAUGUCAGCCAACAUUUAUGAUAUAAAUGAGCUUAGGUUUUUUUCUCUCAUGAUUUUAACUUUUUCAAAGAGAUGGAGCUUUUAUAAAUAAGCAAGCAUGGCCAUAUUCAGCCUACGACAUCUUGGCUCUGUGCAAGCCCAUUUAGCUGGGAGUCGUAACUUCAUUUCAGGGAAGAUGUGUGAGAGGGUGGACAGGCGAGAAGUUUUAUGUCAGAAUUCUGGGUUUGAGUCCUGGUUCCAUCAUUGAUUAACAACCUGUCCUUGGAAGAGUUAGGUAACUCUUGGUUAAUUCUUGGUCAUCAGGAAUGUGGGGGUGACAAGAGUCAUGACUUAUCUAUGGGUUGUUGGGAGGAUCGAACCAAUUGAUAGAUAAGGAAGAACUUGAUCAACUGCCCUGCAAAUAUUCAUUUUCAUUUUUAAUAGGUACCUUUAUAUUAAAAGGAAAGAGGCAGGAUUUCAUCCUCAAUGUGCAUUCACUCUUUAUUUAAUAAUGCUUUUGGUGUCCUACUGUGUUCUAGCCAGCAAACCAGCGACCAGAGGACUGCCACUUCCUAGUGUCACAUUGUGAUGGUGUGAGGUUUAUUCCUUAUCCAUUGCCAAAUGAUAAUUUUUGGCCCUCAGAAAUAAGGAGAAAAGCCCAAAAGCCAGAAAGAUAAAGGAUUAAGUUACUCUUUAAAAUAAUAAAUCUAUCUGUGUAUUCUCUUCUCCUUUAUAUGGUGCCGGUAAUUUUUAAAAUUAGAUUUUCCUCUGGGCCUUUCAUCCUAAAAAUGAUGAAGUUCCCUGUCCCUGGUAAUUGCAUUUCUUUUGAUUUUCUUUUAUUAUGACUUGCAUAUCACUGACACUUUUCCCCUGGAAUGUUAAAAGUAUACAUCAUCCAGCUAAAAGGGGAAAGAAAAUACUGUCUUAAUAAAAACGGCAAAGAGAGAGAAAGUGGAGAUUCUGCUCCUUUGGUUCCAAACAAGGCAAAGUCUUCAUUCCUUGUUCUUCAUACAUGCCAAGGUUGAUGUCAUGGAACCAAACCAGUUUGGAGUUAUCUGAAAUAGAAAAAAAAAAAAAAAAAAAAAAAAAAAAAAAGGCAGUUCAACAAUCUGGAGGGUGGGGAGGCAUUCUGGGAAAGACUGAAGGAAGAGAUGUUCAGUUCAAGGGGUGCUCUGAGAGAUCCCAGAAGAGCUGGAGGGGCCAGAAAGGAAUAACACGGUAACCUUGAUUACCCUAUGGUUCUACUAUUCACAGAAAAGAGAUUAAAAAAAAAAAAAAACAAAACACAUGGUUGAUGUAUGAAUACAUCAUCAAAAGUUACCAUUAAUGAGUGUUAUUUAUGAAUGAUAAGCAGGACACAUCCAGGGAAAGCGGCUCUUAUUUUUUCACAAAACCAUUCUCACAUUAUUGAGAUACAUCUUUCAUUCCAUUAGAACUAUAGUCCUAAUAGCUAUUGCAUGGCGUCCUACGCAGGAGUGGAUAGUUGGAACUUUGGGAACCCUGCCUGUCAGUCUCAUGUCUAGGGCCUUGAAGGUUUGGCCAUUAGUUUCUGUUGUGCCUAGAAUGUCAGGUGUAUUCUUAGCGGCUCUAUUAAUAAGGCCAAUUGCUACUAGUUUCCUCCAGUAAAACCAGCUCUAGGAUUCGGGCCUCCAUUGCACCCAGAAUAGAUGGAAUGGCAACUCUAGGACUUUUGAUGAGAAACAAGAAGGCCCUAGUGGACUGUUUCUCCCAGUCUCCCAAUCAUGUAAACCUUUUCCUUCUUUCUUAUAAUGCACAAACACAAAGUAGAAUCCCAAGAUCUUCAAGUUAAUGAAACUUAGAACCCGAAAGGACCCUCCAAGAACAGGUGGGGCCUUUCUCUUCCUGUCAAAAGUGAAGCCUUUGAAACUUGGAGAGGUGAUUCCUUUGAUGGCAGGGAGAGGCCCUAAGCCUGGGGUAGUGGCAGCAUGAUGGGCUUCUGAGCCGAGGCAUAGCUCUGCUCAGACACCUGCCUUGGAAUUUCUUACUUUUUCAUUAAAGGUCUGAAAGACUGGAUGGCAGUGAGAUUUUAUAUUUUUAAUUGAUAUGGCUGACAUAAAAUGUUAUAAUCAUUUCUGGUGUCCAGCAGUGCUUCAAUAUAUGUAUAUUUUGCAAGUAAAUCACCAAGGAACUCCCUGGUGGGUCAGUGGGUUAAGGAUCCAGUGUUGUCACUGCUGUGGCUCAGGUCACUACUCUGACGUGUGUUGAAUCCCUGGUCCAGGAUCUUCCGCAUGCUGUGGGUGCAGCAAAAAAACAAAAAAAAACAAAAAAAAAAAAACGCCACAAUGUCUCUUAAUGUAUCCGGAAUUCCUGCCGUGGCACUAUGUGUUAAUGAUCCAGCAGCUGGGCACAGCGGGUUAAGGAUCCAGUGUUGCUGAAGCUGUGGCAUAGUUCGCAUCUCCGGCUCAGAUUCAAUCCCUGGCACAGGAACUUCCAUAUGCCA